AUUGAACGCUGGCGGCAGGCCUAACACAUGCAAGUCGAGCGGAUGAAGGGAGCUUGCUCCUGGAUUCAGCGGCGGACGGGUGAGUAAUGCCUAGGAAUCUGCCUGGUAGUGGGGGAUAACGUCCGGAAACGGGCGCUAAUACCGCAUACGUCCUGAGGGAGAAAGUGGGGGAUCUUCGGACCUCACGCUAUCAGAUGAGCCUAGGUCGGAUUAGCUAGUUGGUGGGGUAAAGGCCUACCAAGGCGACGAUCCGUAGCUGGUCUGAGAGGAUGAUCAGUCACACUGGAACUGAGACACGGUCCAGACUCCUACGGGAGGCAGCAGUGGGGAAUAUUGGACAAUGGGCGAAAGCCUGAUCCAGCCAUGCCGCGUGUGUGAAGAAGGUCUUCGGAUUGUAAAGCACUUUAAGUUGGGAGGAAGGGCAGUAAGUUAAUACCUUGCUGUUUUGACGUUGCCAACAGAAUAAGCACCGGCUAACUUCGUG
Molecule: ribosomal RNA, 484 nt
Filed under: uncultured bacterium
Lineage: Bacteria
Description: partial 16S ribosomal RNA
Rfam family: Bacterial small subunit ribosomal RNA
Source: RNAcentral